GCAAGUCGAGGGGCAGCAAUACUGCUUGCAGUAGUUGGCGACCGGCGGACGGGUGCGUAACGCGUAUGCAACCUACCUUAUACAGGGAGAUAGCCCAGAGAAAUUUGGAUUAAUAUCCCAUAAUAUCAUAAAGCCUCCUGGUUUAAUGAUUAAAGAUUUAUCGGUAUAAGAUGGGCAUGCGUAUGAUUAGCUAGUUGGUGAGGUAAUGGCUCACCAAGGCAUCGAUCAUUAGGGGGCCUGAGAGGAUAGUC
RNAcentral lists this ribosomal RNA (251 nucleotides) under uncultured bacterium. RNAcentral's name for it is "partial 16S ribosomal RNA". It matches the Rfam family "Bacterial small subunit ribosomal RNA", at positions 57 to 305 of the family's 1533-position model. The record is from RNAcentral.